GUGCAGCGGCGCGAAAACUCCGCAAUGCGCGUAAGCGUGACGGGGUCAUCCCGAGUGCCGUCCGCUGAGGAUGACUUUUCUCCGGUCUAACCAGCCGGAGGAAUAAGGGGAGGGCAAGUCUGGUGUCAGCCGCCGCGGUAAUACCAGCUCCCCGAGUGGUUGGGACGAUUAUUGGGUCUAAAGCGUCCGUAGCCGGCUGAGGAAGUUCUCCGUUAAAUCCAACGAUUCAAUCGUUGGGCUGCGGGGAAUACUCCUCAGCUUGGGGGCGGGGGAUGUCGGCGGUAUUUCCGGGGUAGGGGCGAAAUCCUAUAAUCCCGGGAGGACCACCAGUGGCGAAGGCGGCCGACUAAAACGCGCCCGACGGUGAGGGACGAAAGCUGGGGGAGCGAACGGGAUUAGAUAUGAAGUUGAGUUUUUACCAGCUUCACUAGAUACCCCGGUAGUCC
This 446-nucleotide ribosomal RNA is filed under the name uncultured archaeon. RNAcentral's name for it is "partial 16S ribosomal RNA". It matches the Rfam family "Archaeal small subunit ribosomal RNA", at positions 330 to 747 of the family's 1478-position model. The record is from RNAcentral.